UGGGGAAUUUUGGACAAUGGGCGAAAGCCUGAUCCAGCAAUGCCGCGUGUGUGAAGAAGGCCUUCGGGUUGUAAAGCACUUUUGUCCGGAAAGAAAUGGCUCUGGUUAAUACCUGGGGUCGAUGACGGUACCGGAAGAAUAAGGACCGGCUAACUACGUGCCAGCAGCCGCGGUAAUACGUAGGGUCCAAGCGUUAAUCGGAAUUACUGGGCGUAAAGCGUGCGCAGGCGGUUGUGCAAGACCGAUGUGAAAUCCCCGAGCUUAACUUGGGAAUUGCAUUGGUGACUGCACGGCUAGAGUGUGUCAGAGGGGGGUAGAAUUCCACGUGUAGCAGUGAAAUGCGUAGAGAUGUGGAGGAAUACCGAUGGCGAAGGCAGCCCCCUGGGAUAACACUGACGCUCAUGCACGAAAGCGUGGGGAGCAAACAGGAUUAGAUACCCUGGUAGUCCACGCCCUAAACGAUGUCAACUAGUUGUUGGGGAUUCAUUUCCUUAGUAACGUAGCUAGCGCGUGAAGUUGACCGCCUGGGGAGUACGGUCGCAAGAUUAAAACUC
This 554-nucleotide ribosomal RNA is filed under the name uncultured bacterium. Its description in RNAcentral is "partial 16S ribosomal RNA". It matches the Rfam family "Bacterial small subunit ribosomal RNA", at positions 355 to 902 of the family's 1533-position model. The record is from RNAcentral.